Molecule: long non-coding RNA, 921 nt
Filed under: Chinchilla lanigera (long-tailed chinchilla)
Lineage: Eukaryota; Metazoa; Chordata; Mammalia; Rodentia; Chinchillidae
Description: lncRNA (ENSCLAG00000028917.1)
Source: RNAcentral
AGGGUAGCUAGUUGGUCUACUGGAGCUGCUUUCCCUGCAGAAGCUCCUUGCUCCUAAUGGUGACAGUCCUAGCUGCCCUGCAGGAGGCUGGGCUGCAGUGGCCUCAGCAUCCCUGGGCCCUGCCUGCCCUGCUCCUGUGAGCGGCAGGCCCGGGAAGGAAGAGUUAACCAGAAAUGGAGCGGCGCCGCUCCGGGGCAGGCAGCCUCGCUGCAGAACAGAGCAGCGUUCGUGCGAAGGCAAGUCAUUUCCCGAAACACCGCAGACACACGGCCUCGGGCAGCCUAAAACCUUUGGAGACCAAAAUGGCUCGCAGGGGUUGGAAGUAAUAAGCUCCGUGGUGUGGUGCAGGGCUGGCUUACUGAAGUGUGUGCGCCCGAGUCGCUUUUGAGCAGAGCUCUGUGCCAUUCCCGGACGUCGGCAGAAUUCGCCAGGAAGGAACAUGACCUAUUUCCCUACUGGAAAGUCUAAGAGGAUCCUUGGAGACGACUUUCACAACUAGGAGGUAGGGGUCGUCUCCAUUGUAUUUUGAGAGAGAAACAGGAUAUGAGCUGGGUUUUAACAGAAUGUUAUACAUCCAAUCUGUUACGCCUAAUGCAGCCUGCAUAUAAUUAUUACUACUCUGUGUUUACGACAGCAGCAGAAUCGGCUUCCAUCCAACAAAUGACCCAGCAGCAGUGGGCCAGCCGCCACCGAAAUGACAUCUGUUAACUCUUUGUCAAAUGCCCGCUCCUUCUCUCUUUUUCUUCCAAACAGCUCUGUGGUUAAUUAUGACCUGCACGUCUGACACAGUCUUUCGAGUAGAGAGACCUGCUUAGGGGCAGAGAGAAAUCUGGCUCCAGGAAAUUCCCUUCUCUCUCCUUUAAAAAAAAAAAAAAAGAAAAGCCAUAGCAAAUUGUUUUAAAAUAAACAUUCAUUCAGAAC